Non-coding RNA from Triticum urartu, 1452 nucleotides. Lineage: Eukaryota; Viridiplantae; Streptophyta; Magnoliopsida; Poales; Poaceae. The record is from RefSeq and is a predicted model, not a curated record.
CGACCCAAGCCCAACCAGCACAUGUCUCCCUCCCCUGAUCCCCUCACUCUCUCCACUCCCAGACUCCCAGUCCACUCACGAUGCCAGAUCUCGGCGAGUCACCCACUCCACCCCCUCCACUCUCGCCUCCACAGCCGGCGACCUCGUCUCGCACCGCCGCCCCCUCUCAUCUCCUCCCCAGCUCCCCUCCACUCAUCUGACGGCGGCUAGAUGCGCACACAACCGGCGACCAACAUCACACAAAGGUCGCCACCGCCGGCGGUGGAAGGACAGUCUUCUCCCGCCGCUAGCCGCAGCCUCCGCCUCGCCCUGAUCCUCGGCCUCCUCGACCGCCGCUCGCUCUCCUCGGAAGCACCUCGCCGCCUCCCUGCCCAUGCCGUGUUCGCCGACUGCCCUGCUCGCGCCGACCUCGCCAAUCUCGCGGCCGCGCUUGGCAGUGCUCGACUUGUCCUCGCCGCCUCCAGCGGCGCCGGGUCCUUCCCGUGCCUCUACCGCCUCCUGGACAAGUCAUCCUCUCCCCAAAUCGACACCCGCCCCUUUGUCGAGCCUGCCGUGCCAGCGACAUGAGCAGGAUGGUGUACACCGGCUUCACAGACAUGUGGCCGUCGAGGCUUCGGAUGAGGUCGACGCGGAUGAGAACAGUUCAUAGAGCCGUACCAGGUCUAUACACAUUAGCAUCCGAACCAGAACAAUCAAGUUCAAAGCUCUCAUGGUUGACUGGAGAAAAUCAAAGGAGGUGUGAGUUCGGAAGUAAUACCUGGACUACCUAUGGGGAGUUCUAUGGUUGACGCAGAGGGGAUUGUUGCUUCAUGUAUAAUCAGGCCGCUCAAUGGUUGUGAGUCAGCUGCAAUGGCUUGCGAAAGGGAUUGUUCAAAUUGGUUCCGUAAAAUGGCAGCGGGUAGAGUUCUUGUCCUGCACAAAGGAAGGUUACUUUGGUAGAACGUCACAAAAAUUAUAGACGGGGUUAGGAUACCUCUCGAGAAGCAGUAUAUGCCUCGGUAGCACACAAGAACAGUGAGGACCAUGUACUAAUCGGACGAACAGUUGGGGCUAUGUCACACCACCAAUCGGACAGUUGUAUAGUUAACCCAGUCUCUUCCCGCAUUAGUUUAACCAGAAGUGAACUGUGUACAGGUUACUAAGCGUGGAGAACCUGUGUCAUAACAUGUCGCUAGCAGCCACGCCGGCACCGCACACCUGAUCUGACGGCAAACUUUGAAGAAACUGUUCAAAUACACAUGAUCCAAACGCAAACCUGGAAGCGUGGAGAAUCAGGCCUUGCCAGCCCCGCUCGGAAGAUAGGAUUUUGUUGUAUAUGGAAAGAGCAAAAAUAUUAGAUUAAACUGUUGUUUAUGGAAGCUUCUCGUGAUGGAAUUUUCCGAUAUGAUUCCAUAUGUUUUGAUUUGAUUGGUGUCGUAAAUUGAAGGAAAGGAUGGAAGGUUUGUUGUUUUA